GCUGGCAGCCGGUGUGUCCGUGGCUGUGGCUUCAGGCCUUGGGGCUGGUGCUGGUUUCUCAGACUGGGUCUGGGGCUUAAGGCACUGGGGCCGGUGUAGGCCUCUCUGGCUGUGACUUCAGGCCCUUGGGCCGGUGCUGGCCGUGCUGGUUGGGGCUUCAGGUGCCGGCCUCUCUAAGUUUGGCUGUGGCUUUAAGCCCCUGCACUGUUUCAAGCCUUUCAAGCUGUGCCUUUAGUCCCCAGGGCCUUUUUUGGCCUGCCUGGCUGUGGCUUUGGCUUUAAGCCCCAUGGCCGGCGUCAGCCUCUCAGGCUGUGGCUUUAGGGCCUGGGCUCAGUGCUGGCCUCUUUUUUUGUGGCUUUAGACCCCAGAGCUGGUGCCAGUCUCUCAGGCUGUGCCUGUGGCUUCAGGCCCCAGGGUCCGUGCUGGUUUGUCUGGCUGUGGCUGUGGCUUUAGGCCCAAAGCUGG
RNAcentral lists this long non-coding RNA (465 nucleotides) under Gallus gallus (chicken). Its description in RNAcentral is "lncRNA (ENSGALG00010000311.1)". The record is from RNAcentral. Lineage: Eukaryota; Metazoa; Chordata; Aves; Galliformes; Phasianidae.